GUAUAAAAUAUCACAAUAAUUUUACUCGUGAUCCACAUAAACUGUAAUUUUAGGAUAGUAGUACACUCAAACAAUCAACUCUCAUAAUACUCUAAAAAAAAAAAUUCAACUCUCAUAAUAUUUUACAUAUGAUUAUUCAUAUUUCAUUAAUAAUUUAAGAAAACAGUAUUACAGCUUAUAUCCAUAUAUAGAACAGGGCAUGCCAUGCAUGCAAUACACUCACACUAUAGUUGGACGUUUGUUUUGUCCUAUAACCAUGCGAACUAAUGUCCGCCACCAAAACCUCCACCGCCACCGGAACCACCACCAAACCCUCCUCCGGAGCCUCCACCUAGACCACCCCCACCUCCAGACCCACCGCCAAACCCUCCUCCUGAGCCUCCACCUAGACCACCCCCACCUCCAGACCCACCUCCAAACCCUCCCCCACCUCCAGACCCACCUCCAAAACCUCCCCCACCUCCAGACCACCCCCAAAUCCUCCGCCUGCACCACCUCCGGAACCUCCACCAAACCCUCCUCCCUUGCCACCUCCAAAUCCACCUCCUUGGCCGCCACCGGAACCUCCCCCGAAUCCACCACCGGAACCACCUCCUAGGCCUCCACCAGAACCACCACCAAAUCCACCGCCAGACCCUCCGCCGCCGCCAAGCCCACCACCGCCAAAUUGGUCUUUCUCAAGCUGCCGGCCAUCGGCAAUCUGCACAACAAACAACCCCAACAACAAGAUCACAGCAAAUACCCCACCAUUUCUGAAAUUAUUCCCCAUUGUAAUUUUCUGAAUUAUAAAAUUUAAGAUGAGAUAUUAGUGUUGUGUUAUUCUCCGAUAAAAGCUUCGAUUCUAUUUAUAGAAAUAGAG
Molecule: long non-coding RNA, 859 nt
Filed under: Salvia miltiorrhiza (redroot sage)
Lineage: Eukaryota; Viridiplantae; Streptophyta; Magnoliopsida; Lamiales; Lamiaceae
Description: long non-coding RNA (SMIL_LNC006939)
Source: RNAcentral